RNAcentral lists this ribosomal RNA (639 nucleotides) under Triticum aestivum (bread wheat). RNAcentral's name for it is "partial small subunit ribosomal RNA". Lineage: Eukaryota; Viridiplantae; Streptophyta; Magnoliopsida; Poales; Poaceae. The record is from RNAcentral.
CCUAUCUCUCCAACGCCAAGUCCGGUGGCGCCAACACCGACCCGUGUGGUUCCGACGCCAGCACCCACCCCUGUCUCUCCGUCGCCAACCCUGGUGACCCCAACACAGGCCCCUGCGAUGCCGCCAACACCAACAUCGGUGACUCCGAUGCCAGCACCGACCCCUGUUUCUCCAACGCCAACUCCGGUGGCCCCAACACCGACUCCUAUGAUACCGCCAUCACCAACCCUUGUGACUCCGAUGCCAGCACCAACCCCUGUCUCUCCAACGCCAAUCCCGAUGGCCCCAACACCGACCCUCGUGAUGCCGCCAGCACCCACCCCUGUGACUCCGACGCCACCCCCAGCCCCGGCCCCAGCGCCGGCUACAUCGACCGGCAAGUGCCCCGUGGACACACUGAAGCUACUUGCGUGCGUGGACGCGCUCAAUGGGCUGUUGCACGCGGUGAUCGGCAGUAGCGCCAGGAAUACAUGCUGCCCGCUGCUGUCCGGCGUUGCCGACCUCGACGCUGCUCUCUGCCUUUGCACCACCAUCAAGGUCAAGGCCCUCAACAUCAACCUCAUGCUGCCCAUCGCCAUCGAGGUGCUCGUCAACCAGUGCGGCAAGAGAGUGCCGAAAGACUUCCGCUGCCCUAAUUAA